This 134-nucleotide microRNA precursor is filed under the name Stegodyphus mimosarum. RNAcentral's name for it is "MIR480 microRNA precursor family". It matches the Rfam family "MIR480 microRNA precursor family". Lineage: Eukaryota; Metazoa; Arthropoda; Arachnida; Araneae; Eresidae. The record is from Rfam by way of RNAcentral.
UCUGGCAAUUGAGGUGGUGCCUUAAUUAUUUCUGGACACUUAUACAAUAGCUAGAAUCUAACAUUAUCCACAGUAUGCUUAGAUCAUAGUCAUGGUAAAAUUUAAAAUUAUUUUACAUAUUAAGCUUGUGCUAA